AGAUCAGAAAAAUCAUAAGACAGCAUUAAAAAGUACUAUACAGGAGGAGAUGGAACAAGAUGGCCAAACAGAAGCCUCCGGCAAUCAUCUCCCCCAAAGGAAUCGAACAACCAUCAAAACAAAAUUGAACAACUAUCUAAACAAAAAAAGUACCUUCAUAAAAAAACAAAAAUCAGGCAUACGAUGGUGGACAAAACAGCUGCCUUUCUUCCCUGUAUGGAGCUUACAGUAUAGUGAAUAUUUCACGGGACUGGUAUCUACAGAAGGUGUUUUGGGAAGCACAGCUUUGGAGAGAGUAAUUUGCCAACAUUGCACAGAAUAAAGGCACCAUGAGGGCCCAAGGAAGGAAAAGAUUUGCAGCUGUCUCAAACACCACCACAUGUGCAGCAUCCCUCUGGGUCUCUUCCAUGUCAACCCUGUGGGAACCCAGGCAAGUGAGAAUCAAUGUAAACAUGAAGUUCAUGCUGCUUACUGUGUCACGAUAAUGUCCCUUGUCUCCCAAUCAGGAGCGUCAUGUCUUCUUGCCAGCCU
Nomascus leucogenys (northern white-cheeked gibbon) is the source of this 531-nucleotide long non-coding RNA. RefSeq lists it as uncharacterized. Lineage: Eukaryota; Metazoa; Chordata; Mammalia; Primates; Hylobatidae. The transcript has 3 exons. The record is from RefSeq and is a predicted model, not a curated record.